This 610-nucleotide long non-coding RNA is filed under the name Elaeis guineensis (African oil palm). RNAcentral's name for it is "long non-coding RNA (EGUI_LNC026350)". The record is from RNAcentral. Lineage: Eukaryota; Viridiplantae; Streptophyta; Magnoliopsida; Arecales; Arecaceae.
AACUUUGGCCUAAACGUCACUUUGAGAUGGUCCAGAAGAGGCUGAAGAAGUUGAAGACGCCGCCAGUUUAGCUUUCACCCAUACCAAGGUUGCCAAUGGAGGUUGGUUGGUUCUUUUAACCAAUACGCAUUCAACCAGACUCAUGCUUCAAAAGACAAAAUUCAGAUGUCUUUAACUCUAAAUGGGGGAACAAUCUGUAAUAUUAUUCUCAUAUUAUUCUCUCUCUACUCUUCCUCGCUUUCUCUCUACUAUUUCUUCUCAUUUUUAACUCAAAUCUAUUGCCAAGAGUCAGAAAGAUUUCUUCUUCAGUAGGACAUCCAAAGCUUUUUGGGCAUCCAAUAGCAUAGAGGAAGAUACAAGAUCAUCUAAAGAUAAAUCGGCAAGCCUGAUCGGUGUGUGACGAGCCUAAACAACUUUGGCCUAAACGUCACUUUGAGAUGGUCCAGAAGAGGCUGAAGAAGUUGAAGACGCCGCCAGUUUAGCUUUCACCCAUACCAAGGUUGCCAAUGGAGGUUGCUGUGAUUGUGAAAUAUUCUAUAAAAAGACUUAGUAUGUCAAAUAAAAAAAGUACUAACAUAAAUAAGAUAAACUUACACGUAGUAUCGUCAGG